AUACNUGCAAGUCGAGCGAACAGAUAAGGAGCUUGCUCCUUUGACGUUGGCGGCGGACGGGUGAGUAACACGUGGAUAACCUACCUAUAAGAGAGNGGGAUAACUUCGGGAAACCGGAGCUAAUACCGGAUAACAUAUUGAACCGCAUGGUUCAAUAAUGAAAGGCGGCUUUGCUGUCACUUAUAGAUGGAUCCGCGCCGUAUUAACUAGUUGGUAAGGUAACGGCUUACCAAGGCAACGAUCCGUAGCCGACCUGAGAGGGUGAUCGGCCACACUGGAACUGAGACACGGUCCAGACUCCUACGGGAGGCAGCAGUAGGGAAUCUUCCGCAAUGGGCGAAAGCCUGACGGAGCCACGCCGCGUGAGUGAUGAAGGUCUUCGGAUCGUAAAACUCUGUUAUCAGGGAAGAACAAAUGUGUAAGUAACUGUGCACAUCUUGACGGUACCUGAUCAGAAAGCCACGGCUAAUUCCGUGCCAGCAGCCGCGGUUAUACGUAGGUGGCAAGCGUUAUCCGGAAUUAUUGGGCGUAAAGCGCGCGUAGGCGGUUUUUUAAGUCUGAUGUGAAAGCCCACGGCUCAACCGUGAAGGGUCAUUAGAAACUGGAAAACUUGAGUGC
This 618-nucleotide ribosomal RNA is filed under the name Staphylococcus pasteuri. Its description in RNAcentral is "bacterial SSU rRNA". It matches the Rfam family "Bacterial small subunit ribosomal RNA", at positions 51 to 649 of the family's 1533-position model. The record is from RNAcentral. Lineage: Bacteria; Bacillati; Bacillota; Bacilli; Caryophanales; Staphylococcaceae.